GGGAUGCGACGUGCUAUACAUGCAGUCGAACGCGCGGAUCAGGAGCUUGCUCCUGUGACGCGAGUGGCGGACGGGUGAGUAACACGUAGGCAACCUGCCCAUCAGACUGGGAUAACCACGGGAAACCGUGGCUAAUACCGGAUAAUCCUUUUCCACACAGGUGGGAAAGUUGAAAGGCGGCUUUUUGUGUGACUGUGGUGUGUGGCUGUGCGGCAUUUUAUGUGUGUGGGGGGAACGCGCCCCCCCAGGGACAAUGUGCAUACGCCCUCUGAGAGGGAGCUCGCACACUGUGACUGUGACACGCGCCCCACACUCCUACGAGAGGCAACAAGAGAAAAUCUUCCAAUGUGCAAAAGAGUGAGACAGAAACGCCCCGCGAGAGAGAAAAAGGUUCUCGUCUCAAAACUCUGUGGUGUCGGAAAAAAACCCCCACGAGAGACUGUGCCCGGCGGGAGACGACCUGUGCCCAAAAACACGCGUAUAUAUACGUCACAACACGCGCGAAUAUACAUAUGGGAAAAGCGAUAUCCAAUAAUAGUGCGCGUAGAGCGCGCAUACGCGUCUCUAUAACUGAGAUGAGAAACCCCGCGUCUCACGCGGAGAGGCAUUGUGAACUGUGGCACUUGUGAGUGCAAAAGAAGAGAGUGAUUUUAUGUGUAUAGCGGAGAUGUGCACAGAGAUGUAGAAGAACCACAGUGGAGAGCGCGUCUCUGUGCUGUGCUGUGACUGUGGUGCGAAAGAGCGUGGAUCUCACACGAGUAUAUAUACUGUGAUACCACGCCGCAUACGAUGAGAGCGAUGUGUGGAUAGGGUGUUCGCGCCUCUUAGCUGCUGCAUAUCGCAUUUAAAACUCCUGCCUGUGGAGUACACGCGCGAGGUGUAGACUCUCAGGAGAUGUCGACGGACACGCACAACAGCUGUGCAUGAUGUGUUAUUAUCUCAAAAACACGAAGAAAAUCAUCACAUAUCGUGAUCUUCUUGAGCACCCCCGUAGAACAACGGGUUUCUUCUCGCGAAAAGACACAUGUUGCAUGAUGGUUCGUCCACAUCUCGUCUCGAGAAGAUUGUGGUUAAGUCCCCAACAAGAGCAAACCCUAUAUCUUAUAUGUCACAAUAUACAUGGGAACUCUAUAGGAACAUGUCGCGGUCACACCGGGGAAAAAAGUGAGGGAAGCCUAAUCUUUUUUGCCCUUAUAUAUUGGUUCAACCUG
This 1211-nucleotide ribosomal RNA is filed under the name Salinicoccus iranensis. RNAcentral describes it as "bacterial SSU rRNA". It matches the Rfam family "Bacterial small subunit ribosomal RNA", at positions 37 to 1222 of the family's 1533-position model. The record is from RNAcentral. Lineage: Bacteria; Bacillati; Bacillota; Bacilli; Caryophanales; Staphylococcaceae.